This 77-nucleotide transfer RNA is filed under the name Haloferax volcanii. RNAcentral describes it as "tdbR00000138". It matches the Rfam family "tRNA". From Rfam's summary of the family: Transfer RNA (tRNA) molecules are approximately 80 nucleotides in length. The record is from RNAcentral. Lineage: Archaea; Methanobacteriati; Methanobacteriota; Halobacteria; Halobacteriales; Haloferacaceae.
GUCCGGGUUGGGGUAGUGGACUAUCCUUCAGCCUUGUGGAGGCUGAGACGCGGGUUCAAUUCUCGCACCUGGACCCA